CACGGUGUUUAAUCGUGAAGGAUGAGAACCGUAAAGGUUCGGGUCGAGCGAAAGCGAGACAACGUUGCCAGUGGCAACGGCCCGAAAGGCGAGGCGUCAGCCGAGUCAUCCUGCACGACCCACCA
This is a regulatory RNA element of Erwinia sp. Leaf53, 125 nucleotides long. It matches the Rfam family "RtT RNA". Rfam says of the family: This family represents a bacterial cis-regulatory element known as RtT RNA. The exact function of RtT is unknown although it is thought that it may be involved in changing the cellular response in relation to amino acid starvation. The record is from Rfam. Lineage: Bacteria; Pseudomonadati; Pseudomonadota; Gammaproteobacteria; Enterobacterales; Erwiniaceae.